This is a long non-coding RNA of Canis lupus familiaris (dog), 1363 nucleotides long. RefSeq lists it as uncharacterized. The transcript has 4 exons. Lineage: Eukaryota; Metazoa; Chordata; Mammalia; Carnivora; Canidae. The record is from RefSeq and is a predicted model, not a curated record.
GCUGUGAAAAACAUGUGACUGUUUGUUGAUAUUUGUAACUUCAGUUCAACCAAAAGGAGUGACUUUAGCUAGAUCUAGUAGAAUACUUACUGAUCAAUCUUUCCUUUAGGAAGUGAACUCAUGGGAAGUAAAAGUACUUUACUAUGAAACAUCUUGGGGAGAAAUGUGUCAAUUGUCGCCUGCUAGACUUCUUUUGCACAUAAGUCAAGAUCUGCUGCAAGCAGAAGAAAAAUGCAUACUUUCUGCUAAGACUAGGGACUGAUUUCCACCAUCAGAGCACGUCUCUGAUACCAGAAUGAGAGCAACUGUGUCCAGCUCCCCUCUUUAAAGCCAACCAAACACAAUAAGAAAAAUGAGUAUCAGAAAACUCCAUCUAAGAAACUAAGGCACAAAGAACUUCAAAGUACAAGGUUGGAGAAAAUCACCAGCUAUCAAAUUCAAUGAAAAACCAUAUGUGUGUGUGCGUGUGUCUGUGUGCGCAUGCCAAAGAAAAGAGGGGCUUUCUACCCAGAUAUAGACAUGAAUUUGGGAGAAAAUCAGGUAUGAAGUCAACAAGCAGAGUUUGCAGCAGGGCAGGACUCUAAGUAUGAUCAACUUCACCGAAUCUCCUGAUACAAAGAAUCGUGCUGUGUACAGACGAAAGCUUACUUUUCAUGACAUGAAGGAUCCUGUGAUUUGAGGAAGUGUCUUCCUUUUCUGAUUCACAAUCCUAGUAUCAGCCCGGAUCAGAAUCAGCAUAAGUGAACAUACGCUCUGGCACGAAGAGAAAAAUCUCAUGAGCUGGCAUGAUGGGAAAAUGAGACAGUUACCGCUUUGCCAUUGUUUGCUGAUGGAUAAAAUAACACACCCCAUUCCUGGCUUUAUCCCCACCCUAUUAUAAGGAUUCCUGACAGCAUGGGAUGUCCAAACCGGCCUUCAAUUUCCCCUGCUUGCCCCCCUGACCCUUAUCUGGCCCUCAGUAUCCCAGACUUCCCCCCCGUAAGGGAAGUCCACUCCUGAGCUUGUGGAGUUACCCACACCCCACUGGUGGUGGAUAUGCCAUGGGAAUUGCAAAAAUGUCAUAUAGAUGUAAGAAGUGGGCAUGGUGGGGGUCAGCAAACUAUGGCCUAUGGAGCAAAUCCUGCCUGCUGCCUGUUUUCGUAAAUAAAGCUUUAUUGGAACACAGCCAUGCCCAUCUGCUUGCAUAUUGUAAAGUGCUUUUGAGCUACAAAGACAGAACUAAGCAGUUGUGACAGAGUCCGUGUGGCCUGCAAAGCUAAACAUAUUCAUUACCUGGUUCUUUAUAAGAAACAUUGAUGGCCUUGGCCAGUAUAGAGAUAGCUAAGUUAUUUGUCUCGGUGUUGUGCUAACACUUUAACAGAAC